This 506-nucleotide ribosomal RNA is filed under the name uncultured bacterium. RNAcentral describes it as "bacterial SSU rRNA". It matches the Rfam family "Bacterial small subunit ribosomal RNA", at positions 8 to 509 of the family's 1533-position model. The record is from RNAcentral.
AGAGUUUGAUCCUGGCUCAGGAUGAACGCUAGCGGCAGGCUUAACACAUGCAAGUCGAGGGGCAGCGCGGGGUAGCAAUACGUCUGGCGGCGACCGGCGGAAGGGUGCGUAACGCGUGAGCAACAUGCCCGUGGCAGGGGGAUAAGCGAUGGAAACGUCGUCUAAGACCCCGUAACAACAGAGUUCGCAUGGAUUUGUUGAAAGCUUCGGCGGCCACGGAUUGGCUCGCGUCCCAUUAGGCAGUUGGCGGGGUAACGGCCCACCAAACCGACGAUGGGUAGGGGUUCUGAGAGGAAGGUCCCCCACAAUGGAACUGAGACACGGUCCAUACUCCUACGGGAGGCAGCAGUGAGGAAUAUUGGUCAAUGGGCGGAAGCCUGAACCAGCCAUGCCGCGUGCAGGAAUAAGGCCCUACGGGUCGUAAACUGCUUUUGUACGGGAGCAAUAAGGGUCACGCGUGGCCCGAUGAGAGUACCGUACGAAUAAGCAUCGGCUAACUCCGUGCC